GUGGGAACUCUGUGCUUUCUGUUCGAUAUGUCUGUAAAUCUAAAAAAAUAAGUCUGUUAAUGAAAAACAUAUAUACUGAGAAACUGUGUCAGGUUUACAAAGAUGAAACAAUUAAACAGUCCCAGCCAUUACUUUUAAGGAUCCACUGUCUGGUGUAAGAGACAGCAUCAUAUGUCAGCUUUCAUGGGGAAGUCAGGAAGGACAUGAGAUGGACAGCGCCCAGGAUGAAACACUCAGCUCCUUGCAGGAGAGGGACCAGGAGAGGCUUCUGUCAAUGCUAAAGUGUCAUGAAAAUACAAGCCAGUGAUUAUUAUUGGGGUUGCCGUGGCUCCUGCGGUAUCUCACGUACAGAUUUCAAUAUUUACAUGACUCAGCUCUGCAGCUUUAUUUAUCCUCCCUCCCAGAGCUCUGGAAAGCAGGAACUGGGAUUUUCUUCUAGGUGUUGUGGAAACCAUCGGAUAAUUGUCAUCAGGGGAGUUUGAAAUAUCAUUCUGGCUGCUGUAUGGUAAAGGGAUUGAGGAGCAAGAAGGGAAGGCAACUCGAAGGCCAAGUCUAAGGUGAAGUAAGAAUAAUAGUGACUGGGGCUAAAAUGCCAGCAACGGAGACAGGGGGAGGGAAGCAGAGAGAUUCAAGAUGUAUUCUGCAGGAAAAGUCAGCUUCCCAGGUCAAAAAACUGCUCAAGCCAUCUGAAGGACAGAGAAUUCAGUGAUCAUGCCUAGAUUUCUGGCUUAAACAAUUGCAAAAUGAUGAGGUUUAUCAAUCCGGGAAGACGAGCAUUGAAAAAAUAAAAGUGCGGGUUAACAAAAGUUGAAUUUCUAUGUUGCCAGCGUUAAGCCUGAAAUGCACAUUUUACAUGCACAUGGAGAUGUUAUGUCAGCUUCUUGAUGCAGAAUUAUAGAUGUUGACAAAGAACUUUGAGGUACUCCAACCUUUAAAUAUCAAUUAAAAGAGGAGCCAGCAAAGUGGGUGCGAUGAAUAGCCCAGGGAAGAGAAAAUAAACCAGGAGAACACACUGAUAGAAAAUCCAAAAGGAAAACGGCGAAAAGAAGGAAGGGUCAGCUGGAUCCAGUGUUGCCGUGGGAUCUUCUGUGAUAAGAGCAUUGACUAAUGGACUUGGCAAUGAGAAAAAUCGCUGGAGAUUUUCUCAAGAUCAACAUUGUGAGGUGGAGGGGACAGAUGGCCAGAGGGAGAGAAAGGUGGAGGACGGAGCAAUGGGAAACGGAUGAAGGGGUCAUCAAAAACAAGGAAAACCUAAAAAACUGGCAGAGCCAAGACAGCCCAAGGCAACAUGAUGACUAAAAGUAAUGUGGGAUCCUGGAAGAGAAAAGGAAUGUCCGUGAACAACUCGAAAAUCUGAAUAAGGAAGCCAGAGAAAGAAAAGUAACGGAAGCCUAGAGCAAGCAGAAAAUGAAUAAAUAACAAAAAAUACAGCAGAAAUCAAUGCAUUUUAAAAAUUAGAAAACAACAGAGAAAAUCAAUGAAACCAAAAAUAGAUUUUUAAAAAAAAUCAAUCAAGUUGAAAACCUCUAGCUAGUCCAACCAAGAAAAUAAGGGAGAAGAUGCAAAUUACUAAUAUCAGAAACGGGAGAGCUCUAUCUCUGCAGGGUCCUGUGAGCGUUAAAAUGGAAUAUGAUGAAGAACUGAUUCCACACCUGCAAAUGUGGUAACUUAAAUACAGUGGACCAAAUCCUUAAGUCUACAAACUAUCAAAAUUCACACAUGGAGAGACAGAGAGCUUGAAUGGCUUUAUAUCCAUAAAUGAAAUUGAAUCAGUCAUUAAUAGCCUUCCAGAAAACGAAGCCUCAGGCCCAGAUGUUUCACUGGUGAAUCCUAUCAACCUUUUAAGGAAGAAAUUAUACCAAUUCUUCACAUUUCUGCCAGAAACUAAAAGCAGACAAAACACUUCCAAACUCAUUCUACAAAGUCAGCAUUACACUAAUAGCAAACCAGUUAAAGACGUUAGAGAAAGGAAAAUUAUACACAAAUCUCACUGAAAAGCACAGAUGCAAAUAAACCUAACAAGAUAUUAGUGAAAAGCAUCCAGCAGUGUGUAAAAUGAAUGAUAGGCCACAGUGAAGUGGGUCUUACUCCAGGCAUGAAUUAUAUUCCUUUUUCAAAGUUCCUCACCACCUUGUUGACUUUCUGAACCUGUUAAUAAUUUGUGGUUUCUAUUGUACACAGCUGUUGUCCCUGUCUUCAGAGGGAUUGAUGGAUCAAUUGAGUUGGCCCGCCAUAACCAGAAGCAGACUCUUUGGUCUGUCUUUAUUCCACUUUGAAUUUCCCAGCAUGUGGCAAAUUACUGGGUACUCAGCAGGGAUUCAUUAAAUAUUAGGUAAUUGAGUAAAUAAGUAAGGAGAUGAUAUGGUUAGGCUUCGUGGCCCCACCCAAAUCUCAUCCUGAAUUGUGAUUCCCGUGAUCCCCACAGGUCAAAGGAGAGACCAGGUGGAGGGAACUGAAUCCUGGGGGCGGUUCCCCCAUGCUGUUCUCAUGAUAGUGAGUUCUCACCAGAUCUGAUGGUUUCAUAAGGGGCUCUUUCCCCUUCACUCGACACUUCUCCUUCCUGCCGCCUAGUGAAGAAGGUGCCUGCUUCUCCUUUGCUUUCUGUCAUGAUUGCAAGUUUCCUGGGGCCUCCCCAGCCAAGCUGAGCUGUGAGUCAAUUACUCAUUUGUCAGCAGUUCUUUUUUUUUUUUUCCCACGACAAAGUCUCACUCUGUCACCCAGGCUGGAGUGCAAUGGCACAAUCUCGACUCACUGCAACCUCUCCUCCUGGGUUCAAGCGAUUCUCCUGCCCCAGCCUCCCAAGUAGCUGAGAUUACAAGUGCACGCCACCGCACCCAGCUAAUUUUUGUAUUUUUAGUAUAGAUGGGGUUUCACCAUGUUGGUCAGGCUGAUCUCGAACUCCUGACCUCGUGAUCCACCCACCUCGGCCUCCCAAAGUGCUGGGAUUACAGGCGUGAGCCACUGCGCCCAGCUGGCAGUUCUUUAUAGCAGUGUGAAAAUGGACUAAUACAGGAGACAAUAUGUCUUUUUUUAUUUGUUGUAGUGAUUGCAAUACAUAAAUAAUGUUUUCUUACUUUUUCUAGUCUCUGAGCUUCUGAAAUGUGGGAACAUUGUUCUUUCUCACACAUGUAGCUUAGGCUAAGCCUGAAAUUUUGUUUGGUGUUGAGAUAGCUGGGAUGGAGCUACACUGAAGACCGUCUGGUGGCGAAAGGCUUGCAUUCUUUUUAUGCAAAUUGCAUGCUUCUGAAGGCAGACAAUUGGUUUAAGUUGAGUUGAUUGUAUUUGGAUUAGUGGGAGUCCAGAG
Molecule: long non-coding RNA, 3304 nt
Filed under: Homo sapiens (human)
Lineage: Eukaryota; Metazoa; Chordata; Mammalia; Primates; Hominidae
Description: HSALNT0279094
Source: RNAcentral